Canis lupus familiaris (dog) is the source of this 1218-nucleotide long non-coding RNA. RefSeq lists it as uncharacterized. The transcript has 6 exons. The record is from RefSeq and is a predicted model, not a curated record. Lineage: Eukaryota; Metazoa; Chordata; Mammalia; Carnivora; Canidae.
UGUGAGAAGAAAGUAAAAUUUUCCUGAAGCACCUCUUAAGAGAAAGCUCGCUAACCUUCCACAGGAGCACCUAAUGAAGAUAAUCACCAUGUAAUGCCGGACGUGGCAAGAACGACAAGGCCCCAGGCUCCCUGGUCAGCUCCAAAGAAAAGCCUGUGGGUGGAGGCGCACGUUGGCUACGUGUCGGGACCCCCUCACUCCUGAGAGCCCUGCCUGUGACCUCGCUGAGGUGACUUCCAUCCCUCUGCUCGCUGUCCAGUGUCCCCGAGAUCCAGUCUCCGGCCCCGUGAGACGAGAGCCCUGCUCCCACACUUCAGUAUCGUCAGCAUCUAUCACGGUUUAAAUUGUUCUCUAUUCUCCUAAAACACAAGCUUAGGUCUUUGAUUUUAGAUAUUUCUUUUUUUUUUCUGAUAUGACAUUUAGUUCUAUAAACUUCCAUCUACACACUGUUUUCACUAUAUUCCACGGAUUUUUAUAAGUAUUUUAAGUCGGCUCUGCACCCAGUGUGGAGCCCAACACAAGGUUUGAACUCACGCACGACUCUGAGAUCAAGAUCUGAGCUGAGAUCAAGACUUGGAUGCUUAAUAGACUGACUGAACCAGCCAGGUGUCUUUGAUUGUGAAAGUAUUGGGAUCAACCCCUUUGUUGGCCGUGUGACACACGAUGAUGCAUUCCACAGAAACAAGACAGCCCGGGACAGAACAGAAACAGAUGACCCGAUACACUCGUCUCAUCUAAAUGAUGCUACAGGUCUGCAGGCUUUCUAUUCCAAUCUGAUCUCACAAAUUCAUCCUUUUCUGUUUUCUCUGGAGUUUCAUCUUCACGGGAUGACAAUUUUUUACUAAGAGAAGUACGGAACAUAACAAGCCAGGGUUCUCCAGAGAAACUGAACCAAGAAUUGGUUUACAUGAUUAUAGAGGCUGAAAAGUCCCAGCUUCUGCAGUCAGCAAGUUGAAGACCAAAAAGAGUUGAUGGUAUAAUUUCAGUCUUAAGUCCAAAGGCCUGAGAACCAGGAGAGUCAAAGGCUGGAAACAUUUGAAAAUAGCAAGUAGUAGUGUGUGUGUGUGCAUGCGUGUGUGCUAAACAUACGGCUGAACACCUGCUAAACAUAUGACUGCAGCAGGAAAUGGAUUAGAACUAAAAGGAGGAUGACAACAGAGGGAAUCAAGGGAACAGGAAAAAAAAAAAAGAACAACAAAGUAUUUAACCUGAAAACAA